CUGGCUCAGGAUGAACGCUAGCUACAGGCUUAACACAUGCAAGUCGUGGGGCAGCAUGGUCUUAGCUUGCUAAGGCUGAUGGCGACCGGCGCACGGGUGAGGAACGCGUAUCCAACCUACCCCAUAGUAGGGGAUAGCCCGUAGAAAUGCGGAUUAAUACCCUAUGUUUUCCGAGGAGGACAUCUGACUUGGAACAAAGAUUCAUCGCUAUGGGAUGGGGAUGCGUCCGAUUAGCUUGUUGGCGGGGUGACGGCCCACCAAGGCGACGAUCGGUAGGGGUUCUGAGAGGAAGGUCCCCCACACUGGUACUGAGACACGGACCAGACUCCUACGGGAGGCAGCAGUGAGGAAUAUUGGUCAAUGGGCGAGAGCCUGAACCAGCCAAGUAGCGUGCAGGAAGACGGCCCUACGGGUUGUAAACUGCUUUUAUCAGGGGAUAAAGUGUGGGACGCGUCCCUCAUUGCAGGUACCUGAUGAAUAAGGACCGGCUAAUUCCGUGCCAGCAGCGGC
Molecule: ribosomal RNA, 510 nt
Filed under: uncultured bacterium
Lineage: Bacteria
Description: bacterial SSU rRNA
Rfam family: Bacterial small subunit ribosomal RNA
Source: RNAcentral